UGCAAGUCGAACGGGAAACACGGAUAGCUUGCUAACUGUGUUUCUAGUGGCGAAGGGGUGAGUAUCACGUGAGCAACCUGCCCGGAAGCGGGGCAUAGCCUGGGGAAACUCGGAUUAAUACCGCAUACGAUCCCUCCUAGCAUUAGGGGUGGAUCAAAGGUGGGGACCCUUCGGGGCCCGCCACUUCCGGAUGGGCUCGCGGCCUAUCAGCUUGUUGGUGAGGUAACGGCCCACCAAGGCGACGACGGGUAGCUGGUCUGAGAGGAUGGUCAGCCACACUGGAACUGAGACACGGUCCAGACACCUACGGGUGGCAGCAGUCGAGAAUCAUUCGCAAUGGGCGAAAGCCUGACGGUGCGACGCCGCGUGGAGGAUGACGGUCUUCGGAUUGUAAACUCCUGUCAUCAGGGAGUAAGGCAGUAGUCAUUAAUACCGAUUGCUGUUGAUAGUACCUGAAGAGGAAGAGACGGCUAACUCUGUGCCAGCAGCCGCGGUAAUACAGAGGUCUCAAGCGUUGUUCGGAUUUACUGGGCGUAAAGAGUGCGUAGGCGGCGAGGUAAGUCAGAUGUGAAAGCUCGGGGCUCAACCCCGAAAUUGCAUCCGAUACUGCCUUGCUAGAGUAAUGGAGGGGGGUCUGGAAUUCACGGUGUAGCAGUGAAAUGCGUAGAGAUCGUGAGGAACACUAGUGGCGAAGGCGAGACCCUGGACAUUUACUGACGCUGAGGCACGAAGGCUAGGGUAGCGAAGCGGAUUAGAUACCCGCGUAGU
RNAcentral lists this ribosomal RNA (768 nucleotides) under uncultured bacterium. RNAcentral's name for it is "bacterial SSU rRNA". It matches the Rfam family "Bacterial small subunit ribosomal RNA", at positions 56 to 794 of the family's 1533-position model. The record is from RNAcentral.